This 2141-nucleotide ribosomal RNA is filed under the name human gut metagenome. RNAcentral describes it as "bacterial LSU rRNA". It matches the Rfam family "Bacterial large subunit ribosomal RNA", at positions 53 to 2283 of the family's 2925-position model. The record is from RNAcentral.
AGGACGUGAUAAGCUGCGAUAAGCUGCGGGGAUCAGCAAGUAUGAAUUGAUCCGCAGAUUUCCGAAUGGAGCAAUCCGUAUGUGUAUGCACAUACAUCAUAUACUGAAUCAAAUAGGUAUAUGAGGGGAACCGCCUGAACUGAAACAUCUAAGUAGGGCGAGGAAGAGAAAUCAACCGAGAUUCUGUGAGUAGUGGCGAGCGAAAGCGGAAGAGGCUAAACCAUAGGUAGCAAUACUUAUGGGGUUUCGGACAGCAUUUAGUAUUGAUAAUUUCUAGUUGAAACGUGUGGGAAAACGUACCGAAGAGUGUGAGAGUCACGUAAGCGAAAGAGAGAGUCAGCGAGCUGUAUCCAAAGUACCGCGGGACACGUGAAACCCCGUGGGAAGAUGGGGGGACCAUCCUCCAAGCCUAAAUACUACCUAAUGACCGAUAGCGAAUAGUACUGUGAAGGAACGGUGAAAAGAACCCCGGGAGGGGAGUGAAAAAGAACCUGAAACCCUAUGCUUACAAGCACCGAGAGCACGUCAAAGUGUGAUCGGGUACCUUUUGUAGAAUGGUCCGGCGAGUUAUUGUAUGCGGCAAGGUUAAGUGCUUAAGGCACGGAGCCGAAGCGAGAGCAAGUCUGAAUAGGGCGAAAAAGUCGUAUGCAAUAGACCCGAAACCGAGUGACCUAUCCAUGUCCAGGCUGAAGUGGAGGUAAAACUCCAUGGAGGGCCGAACACACGUCCGUUGAAAAGGCCGGUGAUGAGGUGUGGAUAGCGGAGAAAUUCCAAUCGAACUCGGAUAUAGCUGGUUCUCUCCGAAAUAGCUUUAGGGCUAGCCUCGUGAAAGAUUACUGGAGGUAAAGCACUGAAUGGGCUAGGGGUCGAAAGAUUACUGAACCCUAUCAAACUAAGAAUGCCAGAUAAUUGAUUCACGGGAGUCAGACAAUGUGAGAUAAGUCUCAUUGUCAAAAGGGAAACAGCCCAGACCCACAGCUAAGGUCCCUAAACAUUGUUAAGUGGAAAAGGAUGUGGGGUUGCAUAAACAACCAGGAUGUUGGCUUAGAAGCAGCCACUCAUUAAAAGAGUGCGUAAUAGCUCACUGGUCGAGUGACCCUGCGCCGAAAAUUCAACGGGGCUAAACAAUGUACCGAAGCUUGGGAUUCUAGAUUUAUCUAGAGUGGUAGGAGAGCGUCGAAUAAGGGGUGAAGUCAGAGCGGAAGCGCUGGUGGACUUUAUUCGAGUGAGAAUGCCGGAAUGAGUAGCGAGAAUUAUGUGAGAAUCAUAAUGGCCGAAAAUCUAAGGUUUCCUGAGGAAGGUUCGUCCGCUCAGGGUAAGCCGGGGGCUAAGGCGAGGCGGAGACGCGUAGCCGAUGCACAUACGGUUGAAAUUCCGUAGCCACCGAAAGAUUUAAGUACAGGGACGCUUUAGAAGUGAUGUUGCCGGGCGAUGGUUGACCCGGUCGUAAGGGAUCGAAAAUGAGUAGAGAAGUCAUCAUGGAAAGAGACAAGAAAAGCUGUAUGAAUAUCUUAGGUGCCCGUACCGCAAACCGACACAGGUAGAUAGGAAGAAGAUUCUAAGGCCAACGGGAGAAGGGUUGUUAAGGAACUCGGCAAGUUGACCCCGUAACUUAGGGAUAAGGGGUGCUCAAGUGAUUGAGCCGCAGAGAAUAGGCCCAGGCGACUGUUUAGCAAAAACACAGGUCUCUGCUAAAUCGAAAGAUGACGUAUAGGGGCUGACACCUGCCCGGUGCCGGAAGGUUAAGAGGAGAUGUGAGAGCAUUGAAUUGAAGCCCCGGUAAACGGCGGCCGUAACUAUAACGGUCCUAAGGUAGCGAAAUUCCUUGUCAGGUAAGUUCUGACCCGCACGAAAGGUGUAACGAUCUGGGCACUGUCUCAACAACCCGCCCGGCGAAAUUGUAGUACCGGUGAAGAUGCCGGUUACCCGCGACUAGACGGAAAGACCCCAUGGAGCUUUACUGUAGCCUAAUAUUGGAUUUCGGUAUUUCACGUACAGGAUAGGUGGGAGACUGGGAAGCACAGGCGUCAGCUUGUGUGGAGUCGACCUUGGGAUACCACUCUUGGAGUGCUGGAAUUCUAACCUGCGGCUUUGAAGCAAGUCGGGGGACAUUGUUAGGUGGGCAGUUUGACUGGGGCGGU